CACACCGCCCGUCAAGUGAUGGGAAUUGGUUCCACCUGAAGUCGCUGAGCUAACCGCAAGGAGGCAGGCGCCGAGGGUGGGAGGGAUAACUGGAGCG
Molecule: ribosomal RNA, 97 nt
Filed under: uncultured bacterium
Lineage: Bacteria
Description: partial 16S ribosomal RNA
Source: RNAcentral